AAACAAUCUUAAUUUACGUCAGUGUAUUGCUUGGCAACAACAUAUGCCUCGUGCAAAAAUUAUAGACAAAAUUCUGUUUUCAUUUUCAAAUUUACCUAGUGUUGUUUUUAAUCCGAUUAUGUUUUGUUUAUUCCAUUUUUACUUUUUUUUUAGUUUUUAACCAUCUUUCUUCAUUUUCUUCGUUGGUUCUUAGAUCAAACAACAACGGCAAGUGCUACCGUGGUUUCCCAAAAAGAUUUAGGGAUGAAAAAUAGGCUGGCAAAUAGCUAAACGAACGGUGGUAGCGAGAGAUAAAGAAGGGUUGAAUCUCUGCAUCGUCGAUUCACUAAAUCUAGGCUAUUUUCGGUGAAACAAAAGACGGAAGGAAACUGGCGACGUCGGGAAGACUUGAUGGUAGGAGUUUUAGAGGCUAAGAUAGCCAAACGAGAAAUAAGAUAAGAUAGAGAAAUGACAACGAGAAAAGAGAAAAAUAAAGAGAGAGAGGUAUAUACAGGAAAUAAAAUGCAAUUUUCUGCGUAAAGUGAAAAUUAAUUUUAAAUACUUUACAAGUAUCUAAUGUAUACCAUAUUUUAGUAAACAUAUACCUUUUGUUAUUGAACGUUA
This 603-nucleotide long non-coding RNA is filed under the name Ricinus communis (castor bean). RNAcentral's name for it is "long non-coding RNA (RCOM_LNC002857)". Lineage: Eukaryota; Viridiplantae; Streptophyta; Magnoliopsida; Malpighiales; Euphorbiaceae. The record is from RNAcentral.